Molecule: ribosomal RNA, 424 nt
Filed under: uncultured bacterium
Lineage: Bacteria
Description: bacterial SSU rRNA
Rfam family: Bacterial small subunit ribosomal RNA
Source: RNAcentral
AAAGACCUUGCGCUUUUGGAGCGGCCGAUGUCUGAUUAGCUAGUUGGUGGGGUAAGGGCCUACCAAGGCGACGAUCAGUAGUUGGUCUGAGAGGACGACCAGCCACACUGGGACUGAGACACGGCCCAGACUCCUACGGGAGGCAGCAGUGGGGAAUUUUGGACAAUGGGCGCAAGCCUGAUCCAGCAAUGCCGCGUGAGUGAUGAAGGCCUUCGGGUUGUAAAGCUCUUUCAGUCGAGAAGAAAAGGCUGCAGUGAAUAACUGUAGUUUAUGACGGUAUCGACAGAAGAAGCACCGGCUAACUACGUGCCAGCAGCCGCGGUAAUACGUAGGGUGCGAGCGUUAAUCGGAAUUACUGGGCGUAAAGGGUGCGCAGGCGGUUUUGUAAGUCAGAUGUGAAAUCCCCGGGCUUAACCUGGGAAUU